CGCGUAGGCGGGUGUUCAAGUCCGGGGUGAAAUCCCACAGCUCAACUGUGGAACUGCCUUGGAUACUGGGCACCUCGAGGGUGGUAGGGGUAUGCGGAACUAUCGGUGGAGCGGUGAAAUGCGUUGAUAUCGAUAGGAACUCCGGUGGCGAAGGCGGCAUACUGGACCACUUCUGACGCUGAGGCGCGAAAGCCAGGGGAGCGAACG
This 207-nucleotide ribosomal RNA is filed under the name uncultured bacterium. RNAcentral's name for it is "partial 16S ribosomal RNA". It matches the Rfam family "Bacterial small subunit ribosomal RNA", at positions 568 to 774 of the family's 1533-position model. The record is from RNAcentral.